Molecule: ribosomal RNA, 1155 nt
Filed under: Streptococcus mutans
Lineage: Bacteria; Bacillati; Bacillota; Bacilli; Lactobacillales; Streptococcaceae
Description: bacterial SSU rRNA
Rfam family: Bacterial small subunit ribosomal RNA
Source: RNAcentral
AGAGUUUGAUCCUGGCUCAGGACGAACGCUGGCGGCGUGCCUAAUACAUGCAAGUGGGACGCAAGGAAACACACUGUGCUUGCACACCGUGUUUUCUUGAGUCGCGAACGGGUGAGUAACGCGUAGGUAACCUGCCUAUUAGCGGGGGAUAACUAUUGGAAACGAUAGCUAAUACCCCAUAAUAUUAAUUAUUGCAUGAUAAUUGAUUGAAAGAUGCAAGCGCAUCACUAGUAGAUGGUCCUGCGUUGUAUUAGCUAGUUGGUAAGGUAAGAGCUUACCAGGCGACGAUACAUAGCCGACCUGAGAGGGUGAUCGGCCACACUGGGACUGAGACACGGCCCAGACUCCUACGGGAGGCAGCAGUAGGGAAUCUUCGGCAAUGGACGAAAGUCUGACCGAGCACGCCGCGUGAGUGAAGAAGGUUUUCGGAUCGUAAAGCUCUGUUGUAAGUCAAGAACGUGUGUGAGAGUGGAAAGUUCACACAGUGACGGUAGCUUACCAGAAAGGGACGGCUAACUACGUGCCAGCAGCCGCGGUAAUACGUAGGUCCCGAGCGUUGUCGGGAUUUAUUGGGCGUAAAGGGAGCGCAGGCGGUCAGGAAAGUCUGGAGUAAAAGGCUAUGGCUCAACCAUAGUGUGCUCUGGAAACUGUCUGACUUGAGUGCAGAAGGGGAGAGUGGAAUUCCAUGUGUAGCGGUGAAAUGCGUAGAUAUAUGGAGGAACACCAGUGGCGAAAGCGGCUCUCUGGUCUGUCACUGACGCUGAGGCUCGAAAGCGUGGGUAGCGAACAGGAUUAGUUACCCUGGUAGUCCACGCCGUAAACGAUGAGUGCUAGGUGUUAGGCCCUUUCCGGGGCUUAGUGCCGGAGCUAACGCAAUAAGCACUCCGCCUGGGGAGUACGACCGCAAGGUUGAAACUCAAAGGAAUUGACGGGGGCCCGCACAAGCGGUGGAGCAUGUGGUUUAAUUCGAAGCAACGCGAAGAACCUUACCAGGUCUUGACAUCCCGAUGCUAUUCUUAGAGAUAGGAAGUUACUUCGGUACAUCGGAGACAGGUGGUGCAUGGUUGUCGUCAGCUCGUGUCGUGAGAUGUUGGGUUAAGUCCCGCAACGAGCGCAACCCUUAUUGUUAGUUGCCAUCAUUAAGUUGGGCACUCU